This is a non-coding RNA of Paramuricea clavata, 549 nucleotides long. Lineage: Eukaryota; Metazoa; Cnidaria; Anthozoa; Malacalcyonacea; Plexauridae. The record is from the annotation of a GenBank genome assembly.
GUCAUUAAAUAUACUUAUGUGUCGUCAUCGUUGCAAUGUCCUUCUAGCUUAUUAACUUCCUAACAUCGGAAGUUUGCAGUUUUUAAGGUGCGAAAUUUAAGACUGUUCCUUAAUUGUAACGGCCCAAACUAGCUAAAUUAAUCUUUGCUUAAAUUCGCUGUUUAGGUAAAAGAGACAUGAGCUGCCCCCUGAGUAAUGCGAGCGGCGUAGCCUGCUCGAUAAUUGGGGAGGUCCAUAUUAAUAUCGGUUUGUGUUCUGCAUUAUUAAUUUGUUUUGAAAUAGAUUGUUUUAAGGUCUGUGAACACGAAUAUAUGAAUAUGGAACCCCAAUUAUCGAGCUGGCUACGCCGCUGAGUAGUGCUAUAUAGCACAAGUUUAAAUUUUAACAUGUUUUGUCAUCAAAUAUUAAAAAUCCUCAAAACAUUGCGUUUUGCGAUACACAAUCGGUCCUUCCCUUCACUAUCUAUUAUAUAUAUAUAUCAUGUCUUUAUACAUUUUAUAAUUUAUAUACUGCAUGUAAAAACUUCAAUAUUCCAUGCCUUACAAUCAC